Long non-coding RNA from Toxorhynchites rutilus septentrionalis, 418 nucleotides. RefSeq lists it as uncharacterized. The record is from RefSeq and is a predicted model, not a curated record. Lineage: Eukaryota; Metazoa; Arthropoda; Insecta; Diptera; Culicidae. The transcript has 2 exons.
AUGAUCCCAGACUCGUAAUACUUGUUUACCAAAAACCAUCCAAGCUAUGGGAUUGAAGGUAACGGCGAGUUUGUCGCUAAAAUUGGAAUCUUUCUUCAACACAUCAUCGACCGUAAAAAACUUAAGGGACACGAGAGAACAAAAUACGGAUGAAACGUGCUAAUUCUACCGUCAGUCUGCUAAUCAGCUAAUGCAAAUCAGAGCGAUGCAGCAGGAAGAGGAACGGGAACUUGCUUUGGAAAUGCUCAUCAAAUUGAGGUGGUUGAGGCUGCGAUUAAAAUUUGCCUCUUGUACGCAGUUGUUAGAAUGAUUCCAACGAGAAUUAUUGAUGUUGUUUAUAGAAUAAGUUAUUAGUAUAAUGUAUUCUAAGUAUGUAGAAUUAAACGCAAUCAAAUACAAUUUUUUAAAUUAAAAAUAA